Carlito syrichta (Philippine tarsier) is the source of this 2218-nucleotide RNA transcript. It is a transcript of the gene named RAF proto-oncogene serine/threonine-protein kinase pseudogene, with no coding region annotated. The transcript has a single exon. The record is from RefSeq and is a predicted model, not a curated record. Lineage: Eukaryota; Metazoa; Chordata; Mammalia; Primates; Tarsiidae.
CCCGGGAGGCUCUACAUCGCGGGCGCUGGGGCCGCCAUCUUAGAGUAAGAGGAGAAGGCGUGAGGCGGGAAGGCUUUUCUUUCGCUCUCUGUGGGCCCCGGAAAAGGCAGCUGGCCGGGCUUUGGGGCAUGUGCCCUGAGGUGCGGAGCGCGAGUAUUAUGAUGCAGGGGUUGCCCGGGACUCCGUCCCCUGGGUUGGGGAUGCACCGAAUGUGACAGCCUCCCACUCCCUCACCCGCCCCUGGGAAGAGGAGCAGAUGAGACGCAGCUGCCAGACAACAGGGCACUGGGGCGGCCCGGCUCUCUCAGAUUUAAGUAUUGUUUAAGCUGCAUCAAUGGAGCACAUACUGGGGACUUGGAAGACGAUCAGCAAUGGGUUUGGAUUCAAAGAUGCGGUGUUUGAUGGCUCCAGCUACAUUUCCCCUACAAUAGUUCAGCAAUUUGGCUAUCAGCACCGGGCGUCAGAUAAUGGCAAACUCACAGAUUCUUCUAAGACAAGCAACACUAUUCGUGUUUUCUUGCCGAACAAGCAAAGAACAGUGGUUAAUGUGAGAAAUGGAAUGAGCUUUCAUGACAGUGUUCAGACUUCAUGAACACAAAGGUAAAAAAGCACGUUUAGAUUGGAAUACCGAUGCUGCUUCUUUGAUUGGAGAAGAACUUCAAGUAGAUUUCCUGGAUCAUGUUCCCCUAACAACACACAAUUUUGCUCGAAAGACGUUCCUGAAGCUUGCCUUCUGUGACAUAUGUCAGAAAUUCCUGCUCAACGGAUUUCGAUGACAGACUGUGGCUACAAAUUUCAUGAGCACUGUAGCACCAAAGUACCUACUAUGUGUGUGAACUGGAGUAAUAUCAGACAACUCUUAUUGUUUCCAAAUUCACUAUUGGUGAUAGUGGGGUCCCAAGCACUACUUCUUAGACAAUGUGUCGUAUGCAAGAGUCUGUUUCCCGGAUACCUGUUAGUUCCCAGCACAGAUAUUCUACAUCUCAUGCCUUCACAUUCAACACCUCCAGCCCCUCCUCUGAAGGUUCCCUCUCCCAGAAGCAGAGGUCUACGUCCACACCUAAUGUCCACAUGGUCAGCACCACCCUACUUGUGGACAGCAGGAUGAUUGAGGAUAUAAUUCGAAGUCACAGCAAAUCAGCCUCAUCUUCUGCCCUGUCCAGCAGCCCCAACAAUCUGAGCCCACUGGGUUGGUCACAGUCCAAAACCCCUAUGCCAGCACAAAGAGAGCAGGCACCAGGAUCCAGGACCCAGGAGAAAAAUAAAAUUAGGCCUCGUGGACAAAGAGAUUCAAGCUAUUACUGGGAAAUAGAAGCUAGUGAAGUGAUGCUCUCCACUCGGAUUGGGUCAGGCUCCUUUGGGACUGUUUAUAAGGGCAAGUGGCAUGGAGAUGUUGCUGUGACGAUCCUAAAGGUUGUCGACCCAACCCCAGAGCAGUUCCAGGCCUUCAGGAAUGAGGUGGCUGUCCUGCGCAAAACACGGCAUGUGAACAUUCUCCUCUUCAUGGGGUACAUGACAAAGGACAACCUGGCGAUUGUGACCCAGUGGUGCGAGGGCAGCUGCCUCUACAAACACCUGCAUGUCCAGGAGACCAAGUUUCAGAUGUUCCAGUUAAUUGACAUUGCCCGGCAGAUGACUUAGGGGAUGGACUAUUUGCAUGCAAAGAAUAUCAUUCACAGAGACAUGAAGUCCAACAAUAUAUUUCUCCAUGAAGGCCUAACGGUAAAAAUUGGAGAUUUUGGUUUGGCAACCGUCAAGUCACGCUAGAGUGACUCUCAGCAGGUUGAACAGCCCACCAGAUCCAUCUUGUGGAUGGCCCCAGAGGUGAUCCGAAUGCAGAAUAACAACCCGUUCAGGUACAGUACGAUGUCUACUAUGGCAUUGUACUGUACAAGCUGAUGACGGGGGAACUCCCUUACUCCCACAUCAAUAACUGAGACCAGAUCAUCUUCAUGGUGGGCCGAGGGUAUGCCUCCCCAGAUCUUAGUAAGCUAUACAAGAACUGCCCCAAAGCAAUGAAGAGGCUGGUAGCCGACUGUGUGAAGAAAGUGAAGGAAAAGAGUCUUUUCCCCCAGAUCCUGUCUUCCAUUGAGCUGUUCCAGCACUCCCUGCCAAAGAUAACCGGAGCGUCUCUGAGCCAUCCCUGCAUCGGGUGGCCCACACUGAGGAUAUCAAUGCUUGCACGCUGACCACGUCCCCAAGACUGCCUGUCUUUUAG